UACGAAGGGGGCUAGCGUUGUCCGAAGUUACUGGGCGUAAAGCGCGCGUAGGCGGGUUGGUAAGUCCGCUGUGAAAGCCCGGAGCUUAACUCCGGAGGGUCGGUGGAUACUGCCAGUCUUGAAGGUGCUAGGGGGAGAUGGAAUUACCGGUGUAGCGGUGAAAUGCGUAGAUAUCGAGAGGAACACCUGCGGCGAAGGCGGGUUGCUGGGCUGACACUGACGCUGAUGCGCGAAAGCCAGGGGAGCGAACGGG
RNAcentral lists this ribosomal RNA (253 nucleotides) under uncultured bacterium. RNAcentral's name for it is "partial 16S ribosomal RNA". It matches the Rfam family "Bacterial small subunit ribosomal RNA", at positions 524 to 776 of the family's 1533-position model. The record is from RNAcentral.